GACGAACGCUGGCGGCGUGCUUAACACAUGCAAGUCGAACGGAAAGGCCCUGCUUUUGUGGGGUGCUCGAGUGGCGAACGGGUGAUUAACACGUGAGUAACCUGCCCUUGACUUUGGGAUAACUUCAGGAAACUUGGUCUAAUACCGGAUAGGAGCUCCUGCUGCAUGGUGGGGGUUGGAAAGUUUCGGCGGUUGGGGAUGGACUGGGGGCUAAUAAGCUUGUUGGUGGGGUAGUGGUUUACCACGGCUUUGACGGGUAGCCGGCCUGUGAGGGGAGACGGCCACAUUGGGCCUGAGAGACGGCCCAGACGCCUACGGGAGGCAGCAGGGGGGAAUAUUGCACAAUGGGCGGAAGCCUGAUGCAGAGGCGCCGCGUGCGGGAUGACGGCCUUCGGGUUGUAAACCGCUUUCGCCUGUGACGAAGCGUGAGUGACGGUAAUGGGUAAAGAAGCACCGGCUAACUACGUG
Molecule: ribosomal RNA, 468 nt
Filed under: uncultured bacterium
Lineage: Bacteria
Description: partial 16S ribosomal RNA
Rfam family: Bacterial small subunit ribosomal RNA
Source: RNAcentral